Molecule: long non-coding RNA, 660 nt
Filed under: Homo sapiens (human)
Lineage: Eukaryota; Metazoa; Chordata; Mammalia; Primates; Hominidae
Description: HSALNT0297210
Source: RNAcentral
UAAAUGAGGGAAGGUGUGGGAACAGAACUGGAUCACAGAGGCUCCAACAAGCUGCAUCCCCCUCUCCACACCCCUAGGUCCCAAGACUCCUGAGGCACACAUCAGACUCCCAAAGUCAGGAAGUGGGGAUGUGAGCAGCACCAUAUGGCAGUGACAGCACCUUCUGCAAGAAGAGAAACUCUAAACCAAUUACAACAAUAUCAUUUCUGUGUUGAACCAUAAGUCAUUGGAAACCCACUGCAACCAUGCUUCCAUAAUAGCAGCUGGAAUCUCCAAUUCUACAGAGAAAAGGAAUGUUGAAGUAACAUACAUGUAGCUUUGAGGAGGAGGCACGUGCAUUCAAGCUCAUGGAGAGGAUUGACAGCCACAGACAGGCACUCAUAAGAACUGAAUGUAAAUCAUCAAAGAGAAUAUACUCAGGAGGCACUGUCUACCAUAGAGGGAAGGAAGAUGAGAUGGGUCAUUGGUGUCUUCCCACAACUUCAUACAUCUGCUGACAAUUGCCAAAUUUGGAGUCAUGUGAAAAGAGACGGGCUGAGUAAGAAAGAUCAGAGGAUAUCUUUGACAGUCACUUCUGGAUGGAAUGCAGUCGUGCAAUCCUAGCUAACAUAACCUCCAACUCCUGGGCUUGGGAUCUUCCACGUCAGCCUCCCAAAUAGC